Molecule: small nuclear RNA, 103 nt
Filed under: Phocoena sinus (vaquita)
Lineage: Eukaryota; Metazoa; Chordata; Mammalia; Artiodactyla; Phocoenidae
Also listed under: 1 other name
Source: RNAcentral
GUGCUUACUUCAGCAGCACAUAUACAAAAAUUGGAACUAUACAGAGAUUAGCAUGGCCCCGUGCAAGGAUGACACACAAAUUCAUGAAGCAUUCCAUGUUUUU